This 256-nucleotide ribosomal RNA is filed under the name uncultured bacterium. RNAcentral's name for it is "partial 16S ribosomal RNA". It matches the Rfam family "Bacterial small subunit ribosomal RNA", at positions 524 to 776 of the family's 1533-position model. The record is from RNAcentral.
CACGUGAGGGCGCAAGCGUUGUCCGGAAUUAUUGGGCGUAAAGAGCUCGUAGGUGGUUUGUUACGUCCGCUGUGAAAUCCGUAGGGCUUAACCCCUGGGCUUGCAGUGGAUACGGGCAGACUAGAGGUAGGUAGGGGAGAAUGGAAUUCCUGGUGUAGCGGUGAAAUGCGCAGAUAUCAGGAGGAACACCGGUGGCGAAGGCGGUUCUCUGGGCCUUACCUGACACUGAGGAGCGAAAGCGUGGGGAGCGAACAGG